GUUGUAUGGUUAAGUGACUAAGCGUACACGGUGGAUGCCUUGGCAGUUGGAGGCGAUGAAGGACGUAUUAACUUGCGAUAAGCCUAGUCAAGCUAGUAAAAAGCGCUUGAGACUAGGAUUUCCGAAUGGGGAAACCCACCUGCUUGCAGGUAUCUUGCACUGAAUACAUAGGUGUAAGAGGCGAACGCGGAGAACUGAAACAUCUAAGUACCCGUAGGAACAGAAAUCAACCGAGAUUCCGGAAGUAGCGGCGAGCGAAACCGGACCAGCCCUUAAGCUUAUUAUGUGUUAGUGGAACAUUCUGGAAAGUUUGACGAUACAGGGUGAUAGUCCCGUACACGAAAAUGCAUCUUAAGUGAAAUCGAGUAGGUCGGAGCACGUGAAACUUUGACUGAAUAUAGGUGGACCAUCAUCUAAGGCUAAAUACUCCCAACUGACCGAUAGUGAACCAGUACCGUGAGGGAAAGGCGAAAAGAACCCCUGUGAGGGGAGUGAAAUAGAACCUGAAACCGUGUACGUACAAGCAGUAGGAGCCCUUCGAGGGUGACUGCGUACCUUUUGUAUAAUGGGUCAGCGACUUAUAUUUUGUAGCGAGGUUAACCGAAUAGGGUAGCCGUAGGGAAACCGAGUCUUAACUGGGCGUUGAGUUGCAAGGUAUAGACCCGAAACCCGGUGAUCUAGCCAUGGGCAGGUUGAAGGUUGAGUAACAUCAACUGGAGGACCGAACCCACUAACGUUGAAAAGUUAGGGGAUGACCUGUGGCUAGGAGUGAAAGGCUAAUCAAACCGGGAGAUAGCUGGUUCUCCCCGAAAUCUAUUUAGGUAGAGCCUCGGACGAAUACUUACGGGGGUAGAGCACUGUUAAGGCUAGGGGGUCAUCCCGACUUACCAACCCUUUGCAAACUCCGAAUACCGUAAAGUACUAUCCGGGAGACACACGGCGGGUGCUAACGUCCGUCGUGAAGAGGGAAACAACCCAGACCGCCAGCUAAGGUCCCAAAGUCAUAGUUAAGUGGGAAACGAUGUGGAAAGGCCCAGACAGCCAGGAGGUUGGCUUAGAAGCAGCCAUCCUUUAAAGAAAGCGUAAUAGCUCACUGGUCGAGUCGGUCUGCGCGGAAGAUGUAACGGGGCUAAACUAUGCACCGAAGCUGCGGAUUCAAACUUUGUUUGAGUGGUAGGGGAGCGUUCUGUAAGCCGUUGAAGGUGUACCGGGAGGUAUGCUGGAGGUAUCAGAAGUGCGAAUGCUGACAUGAGUAACGAUAAUGCGGGUGAAAAACCCGCACGCCGGAAGACCAAGGGUUCCUAUCCCAUGUUAAUCAGGGUAGGGUAAGUCGACCCCUAAGGCGAGGCCGAAAGGCGUAGUCGAUGGGAAACGGGUUAAUAUUCCCGUACUUGGUAUAAUUGCGAUGGGGGGACGGAGCAGGCUAAACAAGCAUGGCGUUGGUUGUCCAUGUGAAAGUAUGUAGGUUGGUGACUUAGGAAAAUCCGGGUUGCUAAGACUGAGAUACGAGACGAGCCACCAAGGUGGUGAAGUUGUUGAUGCCAUACUUCCAGGAAAAGCCUCUAAGCUUCAGAUUAUACCGAAUCGUACCCCAAACCGACACAGGUGGUCAGGUAGAGAAUACUAAGGCGCUUGAGAGAACUCGGGUGAAGGAACUAGGCAAAAUUGUACCGUAACUUCGGGAGAAGGUACGCUCCUAUCUGUGAUGAGAUUUACUCU
This is a ribosomal RNA of 1719 nucleotides. It matches the Rfam family "Bacterial large subunit ribosomal RNA", at positions 1 to 1768 of the family's 2925-position model.